UGCAGUCGACGGUGAGGAGAGCUUGCUCUCUGGAUCAGUGGCGAACGGGUGAGUAACACGUGAGCAAUCUGCCCCUGACUCUGGGAUAAGCGCUGGAAACGGCGUCUAAUACCGGAUACGAGCUGCGACCGCAUGGUCGGCAGUUGGAAAGAAUUUCGGUCAGGGAUGAGCUCGCGGCCUAUCAGCUUGUUGGUGAGGUAAUGGCUCACCAAGGCGUCGACGGGUAGCCGGCCUGAGAGGGUGACCGGCCACACUGGGACUGAGACACGGCCCAGACUCCUACGGGAGGCAGCAGUGGGGAAUAUUGCACAAUGGGCGAAAGCCUGAUGCAGCAACGCCGCGUGAGGGACGACGGCCUUCGGGUUGUAAACCUCUUUUAGCAGGGAAGAAGCGAAAGUGACGGUACCUGCAGAAAAAGCACCGGCUAACUACGUGCCAGCAGCCGCGGUAAUACGUAGGGUGCAAGCGUUAUCCGGAAUUAUUGGGCGUAAAGAGCUCGUAGGCGGUUUGUCGCGUCUGCUGUGAAACCCCGAGGCUCAACCUCGGGCCUGCAGUGGGUACGGGCAGACUAGAGUGCGGUAGGGGAGAUUGGAAUUCCUGGUGUAGCGGUGGAAUGCGCAGAUAUCAGGAGGAACACCGAUGGCGAAAGGCAGAUCUCUGGGCCGUAACUGACGCUGAGGAGCGAAAGGGUGGGGAGCAAACAGGCUUAAAUACCCUGGGNAGUCCACCCCCGUAAACGUUGGGAACUAGUUGGGGGGGGGCCCAUUUCCACGGUCUCCGGGACGCAGCUAACGCAUUAAGUUUCCC
This 807-nucleotide ribosomal RNA is filed under the name Microbacterium sp. RNAcentral's name for it is "bacterial SSU rRNA". It matches the Rfam family "Bacterial small subunit ribosomal RNA", at positions 56 to 870 of the family's 1533-position model. The record is from RNAcentral. Lineage: Bacteria; Bacillati; Actinomycetota; Actinomycetes; Micrococcales; Microbacteriaceae.